ACCAGGGAUUGCCUCAGUAACGGCGAGUGAAGCGGCAAAAGCUCAAAUUUGAAAUCUAGCACCUUCGGUGUUCGAGUUGUAAUUUGAAGAUGGUAACCUUGGGKUUGGCUCUUGUCUAUGUUCCUUGGAACAGGACGUCAUAGAGGGUGAGAAUCCCGUCUGAUGAGAUGCCCAUUCCUAUGUAAGGUGCUAUCGAAGAGUCGAGUUGUUUGGGAAUGCAGCUCUAAGUGGGUGGUAAAUUCCAUCUAAAGCUAAAUAUUGGGCAGAGACCGAUAGCGAACAAGUACAGUGAUGGAAAGAUGAAAAGAACUUUGAAAAGAGAGUGAAAAGUACGUGAAAUUGUUGAAAGGGAAGGGCAUUAGAUCAGACUUGGUGUUUUACGAUUAUCUUCUCUUCUUGAGUUGUGCACUCGUAUUUCACUGGGCCAGCAUCGAUUCGGAUGGCAAGAUAAUGGCAGUUGAAUGUGGCUUCACUUCGGUGGAGUGUUAUAGCUUCUGCUGAUAUUGCCUGUCUGGAUCGAGGGCUGCG
RNAcentral lists this ribosomal RNA (528 nucleotides) under Hansenula anomala. Its description in RNAcentral is "eukaryotic LSU rRNA". It matches the Rfam family "Eukaryotic large subunit ribosomal RNA", at positions 67 to 599 of the family's 3401-position model. The record is from RNAcentral. Lineage: Eukaryota; Fungi; Ascomycota; Saccharomycetes; Phaffomycetales; Wickerhamomycetaceae.